UGCCACCCAUUUACUUAGUAAAUUAGCAA
RNAcentral lists this non-coding RNA (29 nucleotides) under Mus musculus (house mouse). Lineage: Eukaryota; Metazoa; Chordata; Mammalia; Rodentia; Muridae. The record is from RNAcentral.